UACGAAGGGGGCUAGCGUUGCUCGGAAUCACUGGGCGUAAAGCGCACGUAGGCGGACUCUUAAGUCGGUGGUGAAAUCCUGGAGCUCAACUCCAGAACUGCCUUUGAUACUGAGAGUCUCGAGUCCGAGAGAGGUGAGUGGAACUGCGAGUGUAGAGGUGAAAUUCGUAGAUAUUCGCAAGAACACCAGUGGCGAAGGCGGCUCACUGGCCCGGUACUGACGCUGAGGUGCGAAAGCGUGGGGAGCAAACAGG
This 253-nucleotide ribosomal RNA is filed under the name uncultured bacterium. RNAcentral describes it as "partial 16S ribosomal RNA". It matches the Rfam family "Bacterial small subunit ribosomal RNA", at positions 524 to 776 of the family's 1533-position model. The record is from RNAcentral.